GAUGAAGAACGCAGCGAAAUGCGAUAAGUAAUGUGAAUUGCAGAAUUCAGUGAAUCAUCGAAUCUUUGAACGCAUCUUGCGCUCCUUGGUAUUCUGAGGAGCAUGCCUGUUUGAGUGUCAUUAAAUUCUCAACUACACUGACUUUGAAUUGGUGUGGCUUGGAUUUGGGGGGAAAAUUGUUGUGGGCUUUUUGUAUAGUCUGCUCCCCUGAAAUUGAUUAGCGGUACCUUUGUGGAACUGUCUACAGGUGUGAUAAUUAUCUACAUCUUAGACAUCUGCUGGAAUGCUGCUUUCUAAACCUUACUUGUAUUGACAAUUUUGACCUCAAAUCAGGUAGGACUACCCGCUGAACUUAAGCAUAUCAAUAAGCGGAGGA
Molecule: unclassified non-coding RNA, 376 nt
Filed under: soil metagenome
Description: partial contains 5.8S ribosomal RNA, internal transcribed spacer 2, and large subunit ribosomal RNA
Rfam family: 5.8S ribosomal RNA (bases 1-120)
Source: RNAcentral